This is a long non-coding RNA of Aethalodelphis obliquidens (Pacific white-sided dolphin), 1220 nucleotides long. RefSeq lists it as uncharacterized. Lineage: Eukaryota; Metazoa; Chordata; Mammalia; Artiodactyla; Delphinidae. The transcript has 3 exons. The record is from RefSeq and is a predicted model, not a curated record.
AGCAACUAUAGGACUCGGGCUUCUCGUACGCUGGGCUAUAAUUUAUGAAACUGAGCCCCAGAUCCAGCCAAUCAUUUAGCUCCUCAUAACAAGUCUAACUGGCUCUGGAAGGCUGAAAGGGCUGCACUAGAACAACAAAGAUGAGAUAUUCCACAUAACACUCAGCUGAUCUGGAAUCACUUUCUUUGCAGGGCCAGAGAAAAAUCACCACUUCACUGUCUGAGGGAAGCAGGACAGAGGACCUGAGAAAUGCGACCUCACCCCGGAGCAAGAUCUUUUAUGGUUUGGCAAUCCCAACAGUGCUGGCCUUAAAGAUCCCACCUACCGCUGGAACCCGGAGGGCAACUAUAGCAGCAAAAACCCGAAGUGCUGCUGCCUAUGGUGACUAUGUGAGAAUUGAAACUUCUGAGGGAAGCCAGGUUGUUAAAACUGUGAUGCCCUUUACUCAACGGUAACAUGGAUGAUCUAGUCUGAAAGGGAAAGCAAGCUCUUAAGACAAGUCCAAGGAUACUCUAAACUAAGGCAUUUAAGUCACUUCACAUGAUAAUUGUCCAGAAGUUUCCUGUAGGAAAACUUCAUCUUUGACAACUUUGAAGAUAACCAUCUCACGACUCAAGACAAUGGCCAACAACCAUCCAGCAAGUCCUUGAGUUAGAAGCUUUCUCAGCUUCUGGAGAUUGUCUGUGUCAAUAUAAAACUCAGUUUCCUUCUGACCCCUGGUGCCCUGACCCUUACAAACACUAAAGGUUUUGUUUGACUCAACUGCAAGCUGUUCAUCUGUUAGUAAGUAAUGCAUGCCCGAAAACACAUUCAUGAUGAGAGCUUUCUAAAAGACCAGCAUGGGCUUCCCUUCCUAUAAUCGUAACAGUCAUGAUAGCCUGAGACAUGUUACUGCUACUUGGCAAUUUGGGGGGGAGGGGUAGAUAUUUAGUGCCUGGAGCUGUCACAUAGCAGGGAAAACCCCACAUUGGGAUGAGGGAAGUGAUGUCUCAGUACAAUCCAACUUAAGGGGAUUAUACCAUUUACAUUUGAUUUCAAUACCUUAUUAAAAAACAGUGCAAUGAAGGAGGAAAUUUAAAAAUACACACAGAUACUCUAAUCGUCUUUUGCCUAAAGUUGUUAGUGCAGUGUAAAGUCAGCUAGGGGGCUUCCCUGGUGGCGCAGUGGUUGAGAGUCUGCCUGCCUGCCUGCCGAUGCAGGGGACAUGGGUUCAUGCCCCG